CGUUGGCGCUGCAACCAUCUUGACUUGGAAUCAACCACCCUAUAGGCCAGGACUUCGUCGUCCGCGGGACGCUGGGGGGCGCCUGCCGACUGGCACCGGCGGCUAGCUCCGCACGAAUGGGAAAUCCCGGGCUCCGCUCGCCAACCUGUUACUGCUGCAGAACGCCAGGAAGCUCAGCCUGAUCCCACAGAUUAGGGUAAAAUAUCCCGGGGGGCCGAAGUGGAAACCGGAGUUGCGUCAUUGCUCCCACCCGAUAUCACCUUGGCAGCGACCGCGGCUGACCACGUUCCCGGCCUGUCGCGAAUCUCACCCAAGGGAGCUGAGUCUCAGCUUCCCUGGUCCCUGGUCCCGAGUUCCGCCUUCCCCCCCCGCCCCGUGGCAUCGGCGUGAGGGGAAAAGAUAAAGACUACCUCCUGAGACCUGGAAUUGUGGAUGGCUGCGGAAAACUCACCACAGGAAAUUUUGGCUUAAAGUUAUUCUCUGCUUCCCUUGACUGUGUGAUAGGCACCGCUCUAUCUGCUAGAGGACAGGUGAAAAAGAUGGGGUUCCCUCUUCUUAGAACUCACUGUGCAGUGGGAGAAUGUAUAAAUAAAUAGUAAUUACAACAUAAUCUUCUGGAAUAGAAAUGCUCACAAAAUCAUCCAGCAGUCGAUGACCUCCUUUAGCCAGGGAAGAUAUUGCUAUUCGCCUCUUACAGAGGAGGAAACCAUGGCUCAGAGGGACAAGGUGAAAGGGUGGGAAAUUGAGGCAUAGAAAGUUUAAGUGAUAUGCCCAACAUGACUCAGCUAAUCAAUGAAGGACUAGUGCUAGAGCCCAGCAAAUCUGCUGGUGCAAUGGUCUCUGAACCAUUUCUGAGACAGCUAUGCUGGACUACAUCAUAACCAGCCCCUCACAACUCAAUAAUAGGGUUAAAAGAAAUAGACUGAGAUUAAAUAGAAGGAAGAACCUUCCAACAGUGAAGUUUGUUAAGCACUGCAACAGUUCAUUAUGGAGGUAUCAUGGCAACUUUCUGGGAAGACUUAAACAAAAGACAGAAGAGAGGCAUAGCGUUUGAUUGAACUUGGGAAUGGACCAUUUAUUCUGAGAAACAGAUGAAGUGCCCCUUUAGAGGUCCUGCCAGUCUGAUGGAUGGAUUCUCUACCUGUAAUGAAAGUAAUAGGAAGGAUCCCCUUGCCCAAAGCAUCGUGGGAAAGCUAGCGGUGAUUCUUGUGGGAAGAAAAGCAUAAGAGGAAAUUUCCAACCACCAAUACCUUGGGACAUUCUCUGCAAGUCCCAUGAGCCUCUGAAAGAGGUUGAACACUCAGAAGUCACUUUUGUGGUGCUUGACUGGCCUGACAUCUUGCAAAUAAACCUUAUCAAAAGAUGGUGGAAGAUGCGUACUAAGUAUUCCGUAGUAACUGAGAGUUAGUCUUUUUUCACAGCCUUUGUUGGAGGAGAGCCUUUUCAGACAUGAAGAGUAAAAAAUACCGUUCCAUUGUACAACUGAUGUGCAGAGUUGUCAAGGUUUCUACAGCUGAGGAGUGUCAGAGCUACUGGACCCAGAUCUUCUCUCUGCACAUCCCACUGUUUCAUGCUGCCUCUAAAAAACAAAAAAAAAAUUUCCAUGCAUGCACUUUUCACAGAGUUGAAGAACUCAGAGGUUCUGCGUUUGGCAGAUGGGCAAGAUUAUAGAUGUCAUCACGGUCCCCAGCACAUGCCGUCAUCAGCCCCGUCACCUUGUCUGUAACCAUGUUCUUCCCAUAUUCCCCCAAUACCUGAACUGUUCUCUCUCAUCCACCUCUCCAGACCCUCUCCUCUUUCAGGUCCUGCCUAUUCCAUCAGGCUUUUCCAACAUCUCCAGGAAAGGAACUGUCAAUUCUCUGGUCUUUGUAGCGCAUGCAUUUUCUAUAUUGCAUGGUUUGGCACCUGCUAAUGAACCAUCUUGUAUUUACAUUGAACAAAGAUAGAUUUUUUUUUGCCUGUUUUAUUCUUAGAAGGAAGGUUAUUUUGUGAAAGUAGAAAAGCAACAUCAUAUGAGAUUCACUUCUCCUGUGUUCUGUUGUAAUCCCUAAUUGUCUCUGGACCCUACUUCUCCCUAGCCAGGUACACAACUGGAAAGGGAGGUUGCUGUCCCACACCGUGUUCUCUUGAUGCCUCGAUGACAAGCACCAUUCCUGCACUACAGAGUUAAUAGUUUUAAAUUCCCCUAUCUUGACUUCUCCAUAAACCAGGUACCAGAACCUCUGCAGAAGACAUUAAUUUUUCUUUUCCCUGAAGUUAACAUUUCUCAUAUUCUCACUUAUCCCUGGGAUGGGUAGUGGUCUUUAUUGGGAUGUACAGAUUGUUUUUUGUCAGUACUCAUCUCUGCCAAAUUACAUCAGGGAAUAUCUCGUAAGCACUUGCUUGGUUAAUAUUAGCCAAGUCUGGUGGUGUGCUAGAUACUCUGCUAUAGUGCUAUAGACUCAAAAAUCUAUAUAGAAACAAAAGAGCCCUUCCCGGUGCAUCUGACUUUGAUGGAAAGAUUCCAGAGGUACUAGGCUGAGGAUUUCGUUUCAUUC
This 2537-nucleotide long non-coding RNA is filed under the name Homo sapiens (human). RNAcentral describes it as "HSALNT0188498". The record is from RNAcentral. Lineage: Eukaryota; Metazoa; Chordata; Mammalia; Primates; Hominidae.